CAGGGAAUCGUGCGCAAUGGACGAAAGUCUGACGCCGCAAUGCCGCGUGGAGGAUGAAGGCCCUAGGGUCGUAAACUCCUUUUGCCAUGGGGGAGAUACCAUGGAGAAUAAGUGACUGCUAACUCUGUGCCAGCAGCCGCGGUAAUACAGAGGUCACAAGCGUUAUCCGGAUUUAUUGGGCGUAAAGCGUUUCGUAGGUGGGUUAGUAAGUUACCCUUCAAAGACCACGGCUCAACCGGGGGAAGGGGGGUAAUACUACUAGUCUUGAAAUAUGAUGGGGCAUCUGGAACUGAUGGUGUAGUAGUGAAAUACGUUGAUAUCAUCAGGAACUCCAAGGGCGAAGGCAGGAUGCUAAUCAUUUUUUGACACUGAGGAACGACAGCUAGGGGAGCGAAAGGGA
This 400-nucleotide ribosomal RNA is filed under the name uncultured bacterium. RNAcentral describes it as "bacterial SSU rRNA". It matches the Rfam family "Bacterial small subunit ribosomal RNA", at positions 355 to 777 of the family's 1533-position model. The record is from RNAcentral.